GUUGACCUCGGAUCAGAUA
This 19-nucleotide ribosomal RNA is filed under the name Radulidium subulatum. RNAcentral describes it as "partial 28S large subunit ribosomal RNA". Lineage: Eukaryota; Fungi; Ascomycota; Dothideomycetes; Acrospermales; Acrospermaceae. The record is from RNAcentral.